RNAcentral lists this long non-coding RNA (7972 nucleotides) under Canis lupus familiaris (dog). RNAcentral describes it as "lncRNA (ENSCAFG00000056454.1, ENSCAFG00805006119.1)". Lineage: Eukaryota; Metazoa; Chordata; Mammalia; Carnivora; Canidae. The record is from RNAcentral.
GUGCCAAAAACAAAAAGGUAGUGGUUGUGUCACUACAGACCAGACUAUUGUAGUUUAAAAAUUAAGUAUUGUAAAACCCACAAAUGGUAUUAGCCCAGCAUUUCCAUAUAGUUCUAAUUCAGUGUAUUUUAAAUUCCUGAAGGUCCCUGAGACAUCCAGGAUAACUAGCCAUCAGGUCUCGUAGUGUAGCUGAGUCCGUUGGGCGACACGCAGCCGAGGCUAACUAGCCUGGUCAUCUCCUGGCUUCCUUCUGCAUUUUGCUCUAGGUUCCUGGAGUGGGCGGACAGAGUGACAGGUUGAAACGUUACCCUGUUUCUCUUACUUAUAGCAUGUCCUAUUUUGUAGGGAGUGUUCUCUUCUGAGGGGGCAGGUGUUGGGAGUAAUUCUCUCAGAGCUCAGAUUCAUCGAAUGGCCCCAUCUUUGGGCGAGCGCACCCAGUAAUGGCGAGAAGUGGCUGCAGGAAGUUUCAGGAUCAUUGGUGGGGAGGCAGAGGCGGCCACGGGUGAGAAAGUCUUCUCGUCAUCUUUGAGGUUGACAGGUAGAAGAGGCUGGCUAGACAUUGAUGACAAAUGGAUCCAACCCCUGCAUUUUCUUUCUUGGAUGUUGGCCCUUCUGCUGCCCCAAGACCCAACAACAGAGAAGCCCAGACUGAAGGGCCUCACCCCCAUAUCUACUCUUAGGCACGCUCCUGAUUAUUUUGUCUUUUAGAACAUCCUGCCUUUGUCCUCCCAUGGCUUUCCAGACCUAUGUCCCCACCCCCAGCCAGGAUCACCUCAUUUCCCCAGAAGACUGGCGUGUCAUGACAUGACAUGAAUUUAAAAAUCUCCCCAGCACAUGGAACAGUGCUAUGUCAUCAAUCCAAAGAGGCUUUCUCUCUUCCUCUCAUGUCUUUAAAGCCCAGGGGACCUGCCAAAAGACAGGGACCUCCAGGGAGAAUGCAAAUUACAGUCAGAACUGUUCCAUAGAUCAAAAGCCCUUCUAAUAACAGCAUUAUUUCUGUUAACCCCAUGCUUUUUUCACAUAGAAAAAGACCAAAAAUUAGGCUUUGGGAAGAACCGACAGUAAUGUGGUUCCUUUCAAACCCAACGUGUUUUGUUUUCUUUAAAUAAACACUGAGGAUUAGAAUGCUAUAUAUAAUGAAUACACAAUUCUCUUCCUGCACAAAUUCAUUGACUCUCAAUUGUAAUGAUCCCAAGCAUAUAAAAAUCGACCAUUAAUCAGGCAGGCAGUCUUUCAAAUGAAAGAUAUUGAUGUAGAGCUAUUUGAAAGUGAUUCAAGUCAGUUCUGUUCUUUGGAAAAAGAAUAUCAAGACAUCAGUAGAAAGCCCUCCCAACUCCGGAUCCCUUAUAGAGGGUUCCUCUGACAUCCCAGCCUGAGAUCUGAGAUCCGUUGAUGCCAAAGAGUCAGAAUUUCUGAACCCAAAACCAGGCCUGAGUUUCACCUGACUCAAGUCGGAGCUGGCAUCCGUAAUGGUACUUCCAUGACUCUACGUGGCUUUCUCCCCUUGAGAGGGCCCCAACAGGUACACGUAAAUGCAGACACUCACGUUUCUGUCGACGGGUAACAGUGCACACAGGCCCAACUUAAAAUAGUCUGUUGUAAGAAAAGAGUCUUCCAGGGGAUGAAUUCUACCCUGGAAACCUUGGGGAGCCCCCAGAAAAUAAGCUUCAUUGUCCUUACCCCUGCAGGUCCCAGGCCACUCCUGGCUUCAAUGCUCUGAGAAGACAAGUCCCUAAUGGGUCUCUUUUUCUGCCAGUGUGGCUUGCUUUCCUGAGAGGUGCAGGAUUAUAACCUCCCCACUCCUCCUCCGCCCUCUGCGAAUCUUACUUCGAAACUGCAGCCAGCACCAUGACCAGAUGUCUUGUGGCCUAUACCUGGUUUCUCUUCCCCAUUGCAGAGAGCCUGAGAAGUUUUCAUAUUCAGCUGCUCUGAGAGAACCAUUAAAAUUCACCCAGUGCCGCAAAAUCAGUCACAUCGACUCACAGUUAUUUUCAAGGGAGAAACAAGAAAAUUAUACCUUGUUUACAAAUGAAAUAGUUUCACUUAAAUGGGAUUCUCGCCAAGGCAGUUAAUUAGUCAAAAGAUCCAUAGCAGCCAUAUAGUCCCGCAUUGUUUAUUCUAUUUGAUAUGUCUGCCAAUGUGUAUUUAAUAUUCUACGUCCUUCUCAGGAAAUGACAAAUGCCCUGAAUUCUUUGCAAAUAGAAUUGCUAAUGAAAAAGGGGGGUGGUAAAGGUUGAUGUUAAUUAAAUGGUGAUUAAAAAUUUAUCUCCUUUAAACCUAAAAAGUGCAGCUCUAAUAAUCAGUUGUCAUAUAAAUAAAUACCUUGCACUGAAAUCCCAUACAGUUUAAGACCUAAAUAAAUACUAAUUUGAGAAACCUAAGUAUCUUUCAGAAGAGCUGAAUAUAUUCGUUAACUUCAGGCACAUCCCCAUACUGUUUCCUUGUGCGUAGAUGUGGCUUGUGAAUCCUUGCAGAGGGCACAUGAAUUGUUUCUGAAGCAGAAACUGUUUGUACGAAUCGCGGCUAUAGUGGACAGAAUUGGGAGUUCUAGGGGGAGAAAAAAAUGAGUAUGUGGGAACAAAACUCAUUGGUUGGUGUUUAACAGGAGUUAAGGAUUCCACGUGAAGGUGGUUUUCAAUGCAAAAGCAGUAUUUUCAUUUGAGACAAAAUUAGACCUUCUGGAUGCCCCGUUUUCUUUUGGCCAACAGGGUCGGAAGUGCUGAAUGAGAGGGUUGGUGGGGUCUACACCAACGCGUGGUUGUGCUUUUCCAUUCAACCCCUACACAUCGUACUGUGUUCACAUCUAGUCGUAGCAAUGAGGGCAGCUUGCCACCUGAUACACAUCGGAGGAGAGAAAAUGCACUUAAUCCUGUGAAUACCAAUGCUCGUGUACACAUGUACAUACUAUACAUGCCUGAUUUCUACCACUGACACGUAAAGUGUAUUAUCCAAAUAAAAUUGUAUAUAAUGUAAAGUUUAUGUUAAAAAUUAAGUCAUGAUGAUGCUUAUUACCAUGUGGAAAACCCAUUCUGAUUAUCAAUGGGCUGAUAAUUAGGAAGAGAGGGCGCUAUUGGUUUUUUUUUUCUUUUUUCUUUUUGUUUUGUUUUUGUUUUUAAAUAAUAAUCUCAGUUCUAGGGAGGGAGAAUGGCAGGGCCCAAGUGGGAUUUGGGUGCUGGUGUUCUUGGCCUCUUUUCAAAAAAAGACAUCUGGGGUUAAGGGUGUGGCCCAUGUUCUGCUCACAUUAACUUCUGAAGACAAUGCUGAUAUGGACACGUGGGUGAUUUCUGUAAACCCACCAAAGGGCACAGUCUCUGUUUCAAUUCCUUAUCCUCUUCUCCAUGCCCACUUGUUCUGUGCCUGGAAGUACUCUCGAUAUGGCAUCAGCUAAAGGUGCCUGUCCAGAAGGGUCUUAGAAAAAUAGAACUUACAGAACUACACCAAGAUCUGGGGGAAGGGAGAUGAGAAAACUAGGAGAUUGGGCUCCCAAAGGGACAGAAUCGCUAUGGGAUCGUUGGAUUGACAAUAUCAGAGCCAGGUCUAGAAACCAAGACCUUCAUGCAUGAUCCAAUUAAUUCCUCGCCUGGUUCCCUUUGCCAGGCUGACUCAGUUCUAGGUUUCUCUCAAAAGUGCUCUCCAGGUACCUCUGGGAUAAGAGCCAGAGAACAUCGUAGAAUUGCCCCUGCUUUCUUUGCCUCUUGCCUUAUACAGACCCAUACAUCCCCCUUUGGAUUUGGUUUUCUCUUAAGCUCCCCAGUACUCCCUGCCUCAGAAUCCUGGAGAAGAGAAAACUUUUCUCAGGGACCUAAUUCCCUGGGAAGAGCCAACAAGGGAUAUAGUUUAAAACCUCAAACCAAAGAUGAAAGCUGGUGGUGAUCAUUGAGAUAAUAGAGUUCUAGUUCUCUCGAGCCAAGGAUGAACAAAGGACACUGAUCAGCUGAUAGCACUUGACUGAGUAUCUACUCUCCUUUUAAGGCCAAUUUGAGGUUGGGAGAUGCAAAGGGGACAGAAAAUAUAGUCUCUUCCCAUAAGCAGCUUACGGUCUAGAAAUUGUGCUCCCUAACACUAAAGACAACUAAGGGUCCUUGAAACACAAACACAGACUGUGUGUAAAAACUAGAAAUGAGAAAUCAAGUUCUUACCAGGAAAUGAAAAUCUGGUUCCAUGACCAAACAAUCCAACAACCCAUCCUUCCCUAAAGCCGUACAUAACUCUGGAGAAUAUAGUUGGUGCUCCUGGAGAGAUAUCCUUGGUUCUUGAACCUUGAUUAUUCAAAGACAGUAUCUGGGAAACCCAGGAGCAUCCAAACAGGUGACCAGACUUGCCCUUCUGCAUUUGUGGUUCCACUGGGUUCUCCAGCCCUUGCCAGAUCCUGCCUCCUUCCAGCCCUGCAUUAUGGCAUGGGCUUCAAGAAGAGGUUGAAAGAAAUCCUCCAAGGGAUUAGAAAACAGACCGCGAUGUAAAAAGCCUAUUUCCUGAAAGCUUUUUUGUUUGAUUUUUAUUUUUGUCUUAUGAAGAAUACCUUUGAUUGUUCAGGGUAUAAAUGUAUCAGGGAAGGGAGUGGGGGGAAAUCCUCUUUGAGUCCCAAGUGCCUACUGUCUGGCUGACAAAAGAGAGCGUAUCAGGUUCCCUAGAGACAAAAUGGGGCAUAGAGAUGGUGAAAGGAGUCAAGAUGUGUUUCGGGAAAAUGGCAAGGUGCAGAGGGAGCUUCUUUUCUCUGUCCGUCCUAUCCCGUGCCUUGCCAGAAUGUGAGAUACUCUGCUUAUCCCACGUAUAUGCCUUGGGUCAGCACAUGAGUUUGGAAGUAUCAAGAUGCAUCCACAUUGAGUGUAGACUGAUUCCAGGCAUAUCCUAGACUGAAAUCCUCCAAAUAACCAUAGGAUAGAAGUACAGUUGCUCCUAUUUUAUAGAUAAGGAAACUGAGGCUCAGGUUGGUCUCAGCCUCAUCAGCAGCAGGAGUUUGCUAAUAAAUCCCUAACAUUGGGUGAAUUCUCAAAGUGCCUGACCUCCCCCAGGGAGGUCAGAAUAAAAGUUGGAAAGAGAGGUAGGCUGUUUUGAGGUCCCCUGGGCUCUCUCUUGCGCUUCAGCCUCUGUUGAGAGGAGGUUUGUUAGUGUCCCACCCCUCGUCGUCUGGUUUGGGGUGUAUCGAGAACUCCAGGGGAUCUCACCUCUGUUCCCAUCCCUUCUGACACUUGAAUGCCGUUUGUGUCUCUCCCCAUCUGCUUGCACUCUGCAUUCACUUGUUUGGUUCCUGGGGAGUUAUUUUGUCUACUUAGCAUGUGCCUAAUUUUAACUAUCCCCUUCCAAAUCUCUCUUCUUUUUCUCAGUAGAUAUCAGGGUUAAUUCCAUUAAACAUUUGCAAAGUAGUAGACCCUCCCAUGUGUGUGGGCACACACACUUCCCUCUGCUACCCCCCCCCCCAAUCAAAGCUCUCCUAAACAGUGUGGCCCAUUUUCAGAAAGGUCAUGGUAUUUGCAAGUGACCGUCCCUGCUAGGUCAUCACUGGCACCAAGAUAACUGCUGAACCACUGAGUGCUCAUUCAGUUUGCCUCACUCAAGAGCACUAAAUUGGAAUGUUUCCAUUAGGCUUUCUACGAGUCCAAAAUGGUGGCAUGCGUUAUGCGUUGGGGAGGCAGCGACACUGAGCCUGUGCAUGCCUUUCUUGCACUGCUCAUGUGUCCUAAGCCACACUCCUCCUGCCAGGCAUUUCUGUUUUCUGUGAACUGGGGCCACAUUAGGUCCAUUUCAUAGGUGAGGAAACUGAACUGGGACUCGAAGGGAUGUUUUUCUGGGAGGUUCUGUGAUCCAGUCCUUCUGGAGGGUCAGUUAAUCUAACCAAGCACCGUUGUCAUUGUCCCCGAGAAAUUCUUUAGCUGUUGACAUCUUUCAAGCUGGCAGUAAAAAGUCUCAUAAGCCAAAAAAUAGUUAUCAUUAUUUGAUACCUAUUUUGAGAUCCCAUCAUUGGGUCUGCAAGUGAACGAGAACAUCCUCCCAGGGCUGUUGAGCUGUGGAGAAACUGGACCACUCAAAAGAACCAUCUGGCCAGUAGGCUUUCUUCUCUGGGGCUGGAUUUCAAAGCACAUAGCUCUCCAGGGAGCCAGAACCAAACUGUUUCCAAUGGACUCGUUUCUCAGAUUAACUUCCUCAAGUAAGGUGUCAGCAGUAUGCAGAGACAAACAAAACGAAACUGAAAUUAUCACUCAUAUAUCCUUCUUAGGUACCAGGUCCAUGAAACGAUAAGUUUGCAUCUCUGCAAGUCUAGAACAUUCCUCAUUAGCCAUAGCCCUGGGUCAUAACCUCCUCCAGUUAAUUCUCUCCCACACCUUUGGGAAGGAUUUAAGAUGAGCCUUCAAAAGAAUAUUAACGUAACACGUAGCCAAUACCACAGCUGCCUUUUAAAUUAAUAAGGUUAAUUGUUCUCCAGCAAACAUAAGUUUGUCUUUGCCAUUUUAAAUGCUUCUCAUUGAUCUGACAUUUUGCUGUUUUAAGCUUUUAAAGGGCUCAAAUCAAAGACUAUUGAUAGCUGAGCAAAUAGUGAAGGUCCAGAAAUAUAAAAACAUUGUCAGUUUUCUCCAUGAAAAAUAAUCAUAGCCUUUCGAAUUCAACUGAGGUUUUAACAUUACAUUACAUCUAAGACCUAUUGAAUUAUUUCUAUUCUCAGUUUAGCUAACUCAAAUAAAUGAGCAGUAUUGACUUUUUAAAACCCAUUUUAUUUAAAAAAAAAAAAACUCUUAAGUUUAUUAGGUUUGUAGACACAGCUCUGAAGCCAUGGCCGCUAAGGAAAUGCUCCAGUUGAGAAAUUGAAGAUUCAGACUAUUUUGGGUCAAAUUCAGGUGAUCAUCUUUGAAAAUUCUAGUGGAUUUGCAAAGAUGAAAGGGGCACUUGUAACAUUCACGUUCCCCAUGUUUUUCACUAGGAAAGGAGGCCAAUUGCCUAUUUUUCCCCCAAGUCAGAGAUAAGGUCAAGGAUAACAUUUUCAUAGAAAAGUCAGGAAACUACUCGAUACCACUAAUUAUGUGGCCAGCUGUGGCUCAGAUGCCUUCCAAGCCUGAAGUUCUCCAAAGAUUUCAUUACCGGUUGUUCUGGAGCUCCAAAUCUUAAUCUUGUUCAUUCCCCUGCUAAAGCCAACUUAAAAGCAUAUACUUGCCAAAUUAUUUAGUCAGUAGACUUCACUGUAGUUGAUCACAAUAGAAUGUUUGUGCGUAUGUGUCUAUGUAUAGUAUAUAUAUUUCAAGCUGAAUAUUCAGAAAGAAUUAGGUGAGUCUCACUGGUGGUUUGAAUAAGAAACAGAUAAGUCACAAACAGUGGCCUUCUCAGACAGAAAAAAAAGAGGGUAAACCCUUCAUAUCCUUGAGUCACGUUAUGAGACCUGUUGCGUACAUAAUACACAAGCUGGUCAUUGCCCACAGGAAGUCAUGGAUAAAAGCAGCUUUGAAGACCCAUGUCCGAGUCCAUCCUUAACCCAACAUGGGCAGGAUCAAACUCCAUAUGCAGAGGGUUCCCAUUCACAGUGACACUCAAACACAGUCCAAAACCCACGUCAGAACUGGCUUGAUCUCUUGUAUGGUGGAGCCCCAUGCAAGCUGUAUGCUCUACUCGGUGGUUCUCAUUUGGGAAUAGACAUUCACUUACCAAUCACGGCAGUUUAUACCUGUCAUGUUUUAAUCCACUGCAUGAGGAAGUGCUGAUAACUGUAUUCAAUAUUUCCAAGCAUAGCUACAAAAUUACACGUUUGCUUAACACCUUUCUAUGAUAGAGGAAGUAUAUACUAUGGUCGUCUUCUUGUAGUAUGUCUUUUCUUUUCGUUCAACGUGUUAUCAACUGUUUUAAGGAAUGGGGUUUGAAAUGUGUGUGCAAACUGAUAUGUACAUAACUCCCAAGGCAACAAAAGUGCCCAGUCCAAUGGUGUAAAAAUGUAAAUACAGGAAAAUCUCAUUUUUCUAAUAAAAAUAAUUUCUGCCGAUUGAUAUGAAAA